This 207-nucleotide long non-coding RNA is filed under the name Panax ginseng (ginseng). RNAcentral describes it as "long non-coding RNA (PGIN_LNC011440)". The record is from RNAcentral. Lineage: Eukaryota; Viridiplantae; Streptophyta; Magnoliopsida; Apiales; Araliaceae.
UGUAUUCUCUGUUCAUAAUACUCCAAUUACUGAGACUUGUCCCAUUUUAGCUGUUAAGGUAUUGAACUAAUUAAGCUAGUUCCUUACAAAUUGGUAUCAAAGCCAGACAAUCCUACCAUGGCUACUAACAACCAACGCCUAAGUCAAUUGGAAGAGCAGAUCGGUAGCUUCAAAAAUGAUUUCGGUGCUCAAAUGAAUGAACUCAAG